RNAcentral lists this transfer RNA (48 nucleotides) under Plethodon wehrlei (Wehrle's salamander). Its description in RNAcentral is "partial tRNA-Trp". RNAcentral also lists the same sequence under 1 other name. The record is from RNAcentral. Lineage: Eukaryota; Metazoa; Chordata; Amphibia; Caudata; Plethodontidae.
AGAGAUUUAAGUUAAUAGACUAAAGGCCUUCAAAGCCUAAAGAAGAAG